Sarcophilus harrisii (Tasmanian devil) is the source of this 659-nucleotide long non-coding RNA. RefSeq lists it as uncharacterized. The transcript is spliced from 3 exons. Lineage: Eukaryota; Metazoa; Chordata; Mammalia; Dasyuromorphia; Dasyuridae. The record is from RefSeq and is a predicted model, not a curated record.
UACAGCGAUUUGGAAAGCACCAGAGUACCUUUCCUUUCCCCUCCAGGACAAACCGCUUUCCCCUGAAUUGGUCUCUUUGAGCAGCUUACUGGGACCUACAUAAAUAACACUUUUAGCUCAGCAGGUAGUUGCCAUGGAAACCUUACACACUAGUUACUGGAGACAUAGGAAUUAAAUAUACAAUACCAUUCUAUACCAACCACAGUGUGGGGUCAAAGAAUAACAUCAAGGAGGAAAUAGAAAUAAUGAGUCUGGCCAAAGCCUUGUCAGAUCAUGGGGGCUACUGUGUCCCUAACCCCUAAGAUGUGGAAAGGAUGGUUGUACUCUAUAAUUCUUUGGCCGCUCCCUCUAAUUGAGUGUCUUCUCCUAGAAGCUCCAUUCAAGAAGAAUACUCAGGUGGCCUUGAAUUUUUGGAGCAUAUUACUGACAAGAUCAAGAACUUGGAAGGACUAUUAUAAUUCAUGGAGGAAACCAGAAAAAAGGAGUGAAAAACCAGAGGCUGGAAUUUUCUUUGAUUUUAAUAAUUCAUACUCCCCUGAAGCUGCAGUGAAUCUAUUGUAGAAAAGAUGAUUUGAUUUGUGAAAAAAAGAGAGCAGAAAAAUGAAGGUAUGCUGCUCCACAAGGCUUUAAAGUUAGUAUUUAUGGGUCUUCUUACUUCU